AACGAACGCUGGCGGCAGGCCUAACACAUGCAAGUCGAGCGCCCCGCAAGGGGAGCGGCGGACGGGUGAGUAACGCGUGGGAACGUGCCCCAAGGUACGGAAUAGCCCCGGGAAACUGGGGGUAAUACCGUAUGUGCCCUACGGGGGAAAGAUUUAUCGCCUUGGGAUCGGCCCGCGUUGGAUUAGGUAGUUGGUGGGGUAAUGGCCUACCAAGCCGACGAUCCAUAGCUGGCUUGAGAGGAUGAUCAGCCACACUGGGACUGAGACACGGCCCAGACUCCUACGGGAGGCAGCAGUGGGGAAUCUUAGACAAUGGGCGCAAGCCUGAUCUAGCCAUGCCGCGUGAGCGAUGAAGGCCUUAGGGUUGUAAAGCUCUUUCAGGGGGGAAGAUAAUGACUGUACCCCCAGAAGAAGCCCCGGCUAACUCCGUG
RNAcentral lists this ribosomal RNA (431 nucleotides) under uncultured bacterium. RNAcentral's name for it is "bacterial SSU rRNA". It matches the Rfam family "Bacterial small subunit ribosomal RNA", at positions 29 to 507 of the family's 1533-position model. The record is from RNAcentral.